GCUUUCCUUACUGUGUGUAAUAGAGGUUGAUAUUUUCUUUUUGUUUUAAGUGCUAGUUGUGAUUUCGCUAAGGUGAUUUCAUAACCUCUCCUGAGUCAAGUCCUACAGUUUGAAAUACACAUUAGAAAAAGUUAAUCUCAAACUUGGAUCUUCUUUCUUUAUUCGGUCUGCUUGUUCUAGAAUGCAGCCGUUACAGCAAGCAGUACUGGAAGGGACAGCAGUGUGAAGCAUGUGGGAGAAGGAGAUGAAGUAUAGAUGCUCCUUUCUCUCAAGAAAAAAUCUUACCCCAAAAACUUAACAUCUUUGCAUUGAUCAACAAUAAAGAAAAAAAGUAAAAGCCAGACAUUAGCAAAGAGUAAGAAUUUUGAGUCAUUUGGAUGGUAUUUAUUUUGGUAUUAGUCAGUUGACCUUGGCUGGCAAAGGGAUGUCAUCAAUCUCCGGAGGAUAACCUGGGGGUAAACUGAAGAAUGACAGACACAUCUUAUUAACCAAGAGUCGCUCGAGUGGCGUGCAUAAAUUACUCAUUUAGAAAAUUCUAAUGUACACAGCUCUUAUCUAAUCUCCCAACGUGGUCCAGGAACUCAAGAAUACUAGAGAAUUGAGGCCCGUAGUAAAAGUAUUACUAUCUCCUGAGAAAUUUCAGACCAUAAUUAUAAGUGUUUAACAUUUACUAAGCAUGUAGGAUGUACCUUUUAAAACAUGGCAUUUGAUCUUUACAAUGAUCCUAUGAGGUAGCACUAUAAUUAUUUUACCAAUGAGGAAAUUGAGGCUUAGAGAGAUUAUGUGACCAGCUCCAAAUUGCAUAACUAUGAAUAGGCAGACUCAGGAAGUAUGACUCUAAGUCUAGCACUCAAGCAUAUCUCCCAUUGAGGAAAGAAGUUAGAUGGAGGCGUGUGGAUCAAAAUGCCGCCACCCUGCAUUCUUCUGUGGAGUCUGGAACUUUUGAGGUUUCCCUGGCCAGCAGCAACAAUGGUCAUUUAUGCCAGGCUGCAGGGAGCACUGUGGCCUCCUGCAGAGAGCCCAAGGCUGAGAGUCGGGAAAGCCCAGUUCCAGCCUGGCUCUGCCACUUACAUUUGUGUAACUUUAACUGACACCCAACCCUCCUGUGCUUUGUUUUCUCGCAUGUGAAACACUUGCUCUUCAAGUCUCAUAGGGGAGCUGUGACAUGAAAGUAUUCCAAAAGAUUGGCAGAGUUCUACAAAUAGGAUGGACAGUUCAUCUCCCAGAAUAACAGCUAUGUAGCAUUUCUUAGCUGUCAGUCUAGGUUGGAGCAGGAAGAAAAGGGAUCCAGGAGAAAUAGUGUCAAGAAAAUAACAAUGAAAAAAACGUUUACCUGAUAGGCUCGAUCAUAGUGAGAGGAUAGAAACAUUUCUGUCAGAGUUCAAGAAUAACCAAGUAAAUUUUUUUAACUUUACAUAUUAAUUUUAGGGAGAUCAAAAAGCUAAAUAAAAAGGAAAUAUAAUUACAGUAUAUCACAUGGCUCAGAUGUGAAUCUUCAUAUAGUCUUAAUAAUGUAAAUAGAGAAUGUUGAACUAGCCCCAAAUUGUAACAGUACUGAGAAGGUGGUUGGGGAAGGGGGGACAGAGUGUAAGAAGAUGAAAUCCUUAUCUUUAGUAGUAAUAACCAGAAAAUAUCUAAAAGUCUAGAAGAGUGUAAGCAUGUUAUUUAGAAAUAACCAGAGAAAAAUAGUAACUAAGAGUAAAUAAUAGGAGACAAGUUUCAAAAAGUUGAAAAUAAUUGCCUCUAGGGAGCAGAAAUCAGGAAUGGGGAAAAGGAAGGGAGGAGAUGGCUUUUUUUCUUUUUAAAGAAGAUUUGUAGAACUUUUUCACUUUUAAACCAGUAUAUCCCCUAUCUAGCCAGUCGGCAGUAAAAGAAUGUUGUAGACUUUGAAACAGACAGACCUCAGCUACAUCUCUUACUGCUUGUGGGACCUUGGGCAAGUGGCUUCUCCUCUUUGAGUUCCAGUUUGCUAAUCUGUAAAGUGGGACUGUCACUACCUAUGUCAGAAGAGAAGCAUGGGAAAUGGUUGAGAGGCUCUGCAGGUGGACUGUCUAAGCUCAGAUUCCAGAUCUUACUGACUGAAAGCCUGUGAGAAAUUGUGGAAAUUAGUUCAUUUCUCUGUGCCUCAGUCUUUUCUUCUGAAAAAUGGUGAUUAUAAUAACAGAACCUACCUGGGAGAGUUGCUAAAUGGAUUAAAAGAGACAAUCCAGAAGCUCCUGACACACAGUGGGUUUCAGUAAAUAACUUUCAGGCAUUAUGAGGGUUACACAAAAUAGCACAUCAUGCAGGAUGCAUGGCGCUUGACCCAUAACAGGCAUCCCUUUCUCCCAAAAACACAUCAGAAGAAUCAGAGAAGAAGUCUCCCCAGCCAGACUAAUAGGAUAGAUGGCUACCUCCCAUGCAACAAUAUGGAGAUAAGUGGUCCUUGCCCUGCCACGAAGCCCCUCUCCAAACAUACUUCUCAGAAGAGUUGUUUUAUUUCUAGAAAGUGUAUAAGACUCAUUUAAUUCUUAUAGAACUUCACUGGCUUGUUCUUCAGUCUCCUUAAAGUUUACAGGUUAGGCUGAGAUGAGAAAGCCUAUCAAGGCCAUCUCUGCCAGGCCGGGACUCAGAGUACCUAGCGGAGCAGGUGCACCACACCAGUGUGCGACAGAUGCUCUGCAGCUGAAACAGGUAUCCUCUGAGUUCAUGUCAGGCUACAUCGUAAAACUGGCCGCAGGAAUGCAUGUAAAGCCACGCUCACACCCAAAUGCACCUGUACCUCGUUACUCCCACCUCUCCUGGGAGUGAGAGAAGACUAUCUAACCCAGAUCCCAAGUCAUUUCCUGCCAGGGCUUCACAGCAAUUCAAAGAACUUCUAAGUGCAGGUUCUUUCCAAAUAGAUUGGUUUCUUGAAACUCACAAGAAGUCAAACACCAGAAAAAGAGGGGAUUUUUGAAAGCCACCCACUAGGAUGGCAACUGGUACUUGGUAGUUUCAAAUAUUAAGAAAAAAAAAAAAUCAGCGUUGAUGAGGCAGUGUCUAAUCUCCCUGUGCACAGGAAGUGAAGGCGAUGGAGUCUGAUUUGCAGGAGGCCCUGAGGUUGCACAAAGCAGCCACUCCUCCAGCGAGGCCCACUUACUGCCUGCCGAGACGCCUGCUGAGACGCCUGCUUUGCCUGCCUCCAGCUGAGCACACCGGAGGGAAAGCACCAUUAAAUUCCCUGUGAGCUCUGAGCCAAUGAGCUGCACCAAGGUCACCAGAGCCUGCUUCCUGGGGAGCUCAGCCCGAGAUGCUCAGAAUCAAUCAUCCAGUGGCUUUCGGGAAAGGUCGAAGGAUCUUUGGGAAAUUGGACACAGAACAAAUAAGCUAGACCUCUGAAAGCCACAACCACCACCAGAUGAACCAAUCCUACCUGUGUUUGCAUGAGCCCAGCUCAUCAUAUCCCUUUUAACAAAAUAACUUGGAAAGGAAGAGAAUGUGGUGUGCAUGGCCCAUGAUCGUGUCCAUGGCUCUGGAGCAUCCCUCACGUGAAAGCAGCUUCAUUUCUUGGCCAAGCAGACCUGAGCUUGGGCUCCCUGUCUGUGCUGUGACCUCACCCUGCUGAGCCAAAUGUACAGUGACUCAUGAGUCAUCGGGCUCAAUCAAAAUUUCCUCUUCGCUACGUACCCCGCCCCCACCUCAGGACAGUGGUUAUCUCCGCCUCCCCCUUGUGGAGCAUGGCUGCUGAGUGGGAGAAAGGAGGGAAGGAGAAAACGAGUCAAUCAAGAAACGACAACCCCAAGGGGGCAGCAAUAUCCCUGCCUGAAGUCUAGAGAGGAACAGGCAAAAAUUAUUAAAAUCAUACUUACCUGUCAACCUUUUGAUUCAGAAAUUAGAAGGUAGCCCCCUCCCUCUUGUGGGAGCAGGGUGAGGGCAGCUAUCAGUUAUCAUCAAUAAUAGUCGAGAGUAAUGCUCAUAUAGAGUAGACUGUGCCAAGCUCUGUUCUGAACACUUUACAUAUAUUUGCUAGUUUCAUCCUAUUCUCUAGUUUCAUAACAACGCUAUGAGGUAGGUACCAUUAUGAUCACCCCAUUUUGCAGAUGAGGAGACUGAGGCACAGAAAGCUUAAGAAAGAGUACAAAACUUACUAAGGUCACACAGGUUAUAAGUGGAUUUGGUCACUGUACCAUAUGUUGGUCUGUGUAAUUCAGGGUUGAAGGCAGUGCCUGGGGCUUAGUAGGGUACACUGCCCCCGUGGCCCUUCUCACAGCUGACCACAAGCCCCGCAGGAGCAAGCAGAGAUGAGUGGCCCACCAGAAACCUGGGUUAAAGAGAACACGGAGAACUGCAGGGGCUUCUCUCAAAGCCCCCCUUCUGCCUGCCUAGUGUCCAGAGACCACAUGUGUCUCCCUCUGGCUUGAUUCACGGUGUCUGCUUUCUCUUUGAUGCAUUCAUUCUUUCCAGAUUUUUUCUUUUCUUUCCAUUUGCUCACAAGUGAAGGCCUGCUGGGGCGGAAACAUCACGCAUGAGUUAAAGGAGAUUGGGCGCCGAGGUGCCGAGGAAGCCUUGAGUGUGGUGGCUGUCUUGUGGUUCCUGAGCUUCCUCCAUGCAAGAUCUGAUCUCACAUGACGCCCAGGGCUGAUGGAGACAUUCAUCACUUCCUCCCUCAGCAAAAGGUGCUAAUAAAAGAAACUUUUCCUCUCA
Equus caballus (horse) is the source of this 4665-nucleotide long non-coding RNA. RefSeq lists it as uncharacterized. The record is from RefSeq and is a predicted model, not a curated record. Lineage: Eukaryota; Metazoa; Chordata; Mammalia; Perissodactyla; Equidae.